This 616-nucleotide ribosomal RNA is filed under the name Melophagus ovinus. RNAcentral's name for it is "SSU rRNA". It matches the Rfam family "Eukaryotic small subunit ribosomal RNA", at positions 593 to 1138 of the family's 1831-position model. The record is from RNAcentral. Lineage: Eukaryota; Metazoa; Arthropoda; Insecta; Diptera; Hippoboscidae.
AAUAGCGUAUAUUAAUGUUGUUGCGGUUAAAACGUUCGUAGUUGAACUUGUGCUUCAUACGGGUAGUACAACUAUAAUUUUAGAUUGUGCUAUACCUUAUGUAUGUAAGCGUAUUACCGGUGGGGUUCUUAUAUGCAAAUGUAAUACUUGUAUUCUUUUGUAUAUUCCUCCUAUUUAAACCUGCCUCAAUGCUCUUCAUCGGGUGUUGUUGCGGGCCGGUACAAUUACUUUGAACAAAUUAGAGUGCUUAAAGCAGGCUCCAAAUGCCUGAAUAUUUUGUGCAUGGAAUAAUGGAAUAAGACCUCUGUUCUACUUUCAUUGGUUUUUAGAUCAAGAGGUAAUGAUUAAUAGAAGCAGUUUGGGGGCAUUAGUAUUACGACGCGAGAGGUGAAAUUCUUGGACCGUCGUAAGACUAACUUAAGCGAAAGCAUUUGCCAAAGAUGUUUUCAUUAAUCAAGAACGAAAGUUAGAGGUUCGAAGGCGAUCAGAUACCGCCCUAGUUCUAACCAUAAACGAUGCCAGCUAGCAAUUGGGUGUAGCUAAUUUUAUGGCUCUCUCAGUCGCUUCCCGGGAAACCAAAGCUUUUGGGCUCCGGGGGAAGUAUGGUUGCAAAGCU